AUUGCUAGGGGCGCUUAUGCUGAGAUGUUUACCCUUUUACCUGAUCAGGUUAGUACCUGCGUAGGGAAGCAUAGACAA
This 78-nucleotide non-coding RNA is filed under the name uncultured Oribacterium sp. Lineage: Bacteria; Bacillati; Bacillota; Clostridia; Lachnospirales; Lachnospiraceae. The record is from RNAcentral.